UAGGAAUCUGCCCAUUUGUGGGGGAUAACCCGGCGAAAGCCAGGCUAAUACCGCAUACGCUCUACGGAGGAAAGCGGGGGAUCGUAAAACCUCGCGCUAAUGGAUGAGCCUACGUCGGAUUAGCUAGUUGGUGGGGUAACGGCCUACCAAGGCGACGAUCCGUAGCUGGUCUGAGAGGACGAUCAGCCACACUGGGACUGAGACACGGCCCAGACUCCUACGGGAGGCAG
This 230-nucleotide ribosomal RNA is filed under the name uncultured bacterium. RNAcentral describes it as "partial 16S ribosomal RNA". It matches the Rfam family "Bacterial small subunit ribosomal RNA", at positions 118 to 351 of the family's 1533-position model. The record is from RNAcentral.